GCGGGUAGAGCUUAGUGGUAGAGUACGUGCUUAGCAUGCACGAGGUCCUGGGUUCAAUCCCUAGUACCUCCA
Transfer RNA from Camelus ferus (Wild Bactrian camel), 72 nucleotides. It matches the Rfam family "tRNA". Rfam says of the family: Transfer RNA (tRNA) molecules are approximately 80 nucleotides in length. Their secondary structure includes four short double-helical elements and three loops (D, anti-codon, and T loops). Lineage: Eukaryota; Metazoa; Chordata; Mammalia; Artiodactyla; Camelidae. The record is from Rfam.